CAGCCAAGUGCUUUUCCUGUACCAUCAGAUUUGCUUUUACCCUGAAGUUCCAAUCAGCCGAGACUUACUGAGUGUUUAGUAUGUGCUAGGCACUGGGGACGCAGAAAUGAACUUGGCACACCCGGCCUGCAGAGACCUCAUGGUCUAGUGCUCACAGGCCUGUUUGGUGUUGCUUCGGGGGUUCCUCCCUUCUUGCAUUCUCAGCUCUGUGGGGGUAGUUUUGAACUCCCCCCUCCACCCCAGGGUUGGCUGUUGGAGUGACAACUUAGCAAUACUUGGUGCACGGAGAGCCCUCAACAAACAGCAGUCAUUGUUUGAUUUGGAAUAGAAAGACAGCAUUCCCCAUCCAGCCCCGUGGAUCCAUGCAGUGAGGCCUGGGCAUUUGUGGUCUCCAGGGAACCGACCACCCACCAGGGCCCCGAGGAAGCCUGUCCAGCUCUCCACAGUGUGCAGAGUCCACGUGUGGCCACUGUGUGAUUGCUCACAUUUGUAAAAUGGGGACAGGCACAGAGCACAGAGCACCUGUCAUGGGAACACCAAGAGGAUGCGAUGAACGCUGAGCUUGGCACCGGAUUUUGUCCACUUGAGGAAGACCGGUGAGCCCCGUUCAUGGGCCCAGCUACACGGCGGGUUCCGCACUACCUCGUGUCUCUCUUGAGCAUAAGGAAUGAGUGUGAGAUAUCAAGGAGAGGUGGUUUAUCUCAUUUCAUGGAUGGGGAGACAGGUCCAGAGAAGAGAGGUGACUUGCUCGAGGCCAAGAACAAGAGCGGAAGAAAAGAAGACUUGAAACAAUGUCUGAGCUCAUCCUCUCUGACUUGCUAGGACCCCCCCACGCUCUCUUCUUCCUGCAGUUGGCAGACAUUCAGUAAGCGCCUACUAUGUGCAUGGUCUGUGCCAGAGCUGUGGGAUGGCUUUCGUGAGCCCUGGGCCCUUGGCCUUCCUGUGCCCCCUUCCACCAUAGCCAGCAUACAAAAUUGUUUUAUGACUGCAUUGUUUCCCUGGCUGGAUUAUGGUCAUAUUUUCCUUCUGGUUUUAAGAGAAAUAAAAACAUAUGUGUGGGCCUGUAAACACAGUCAGGGCCCUAGGUACCGUACCUUCUGCACCUGAUGGAGACGUCAGCCCUGCUCGCCUGACACAAACCAAAACAAUCUUGCAAAUAAAGCUUAAAUGACAACCGUGACAAGCUUUACAAGGGAGAGGUUCUGCGUGUUAUAAGGAUUUGUGGCCAGAGUUUGGUCCAACAUGGGAGCCUGAAGGAGCAUCUCUUAGGAAGCUGAUCUCAGCCCUGAGGAGAUCAGGAAAGAGUCAGCGAUGAGUGGGGGAGGGAGUGUCCCAGGCUGAUGAGACAGCCGGUGCAAAGGCCCUGUGGCAAGACCAGAGGGCAC
Molecule: long non-coding RNA, 1385 nt
Organism: Zalophus californianus (California sea lion)
Lineage: Eukaryota; Metazoa; Chordata; Mammalia; Carnivora; Otariidae
Exons: 4
Source: RefSeq, a predicted model, not a curated record